This 240-nucleotide unclassified non-coding RNA is filed under the name Sarocladium glaucum. Its description in RNAcentral is "partial internal transcribed spacer region". The stretch from base 1 to 46 matches the Rfam family "Eukaryotic small subunit ribosomal RNA", at positions 1786 to 1831 of the family's 1831-position model. Lineage: Eukaryota; Fungi; Ascomycota; Sordariomycetes; Hypocreales; Sarocladiaceae. The record is from RNAcentral.
AAGUCGUAACAAGGUCUCCGUUGGUGAACCAGCGGAGGGAUCAUUACCAGAGUGCCUUCAGGCUCUCCAACCCACUGUGAACAUACCUACGUUCCCCCGGCGGGCUCAGCGCGAGGCGGCUCCGGCCGCCCCGCGUCCGCCGAGGGCAUCUCAAACCCGAAUUUAUUCGUGUCUUCUGAGGGGCGAAAGCCCGUAAAACAAAAUGAAUCAAAACUUUCAACAACGGAUCUCUUGGUUCUG